CUCUCUCUCUUUCUCUCUGUCUCUCUUUAAAAAAAAGAAGAAAAUUAAGGAGGAAAAAAAGAUUAAUGAAUGAAUAUGGAAAUUAAUCUAAACAAGGAGGUGAAAGAUCUCUACAAGGAAAAUUAUAGAACACUGAAAAAAGAAAUUGAAGGUGACCUUGGAAGAUGGAAAGAUCUCCCAUGUUCUUGGAGAGGCAGAAUUAAUAUUGUGAAAAUGGCCAACUACCCAAAGUGCUGUACAGAUUCAGGGCAUCCCCACCAAACACCAAGGACAACCUUCACAGAACUAAAAAAUCAGUUCUAAAAUCCGCUUGAAAGGAUAAGAGAACCGAGUACCGAGGAGGUGGUGAGCAAGGAAAGCCACGCAGGAGGCGGCCCACCCUGGGCCUUACGCGGGGCUGAGGAGCUACAGCAACUAAGAUGGGAAGAGACCGUCAUGAAGAAAAAGAAGCUGGGAUCCCACACGGGGGCGUGAGGCGCAGCCGGGUGACGGGAGCACGGGAUUUCAACACCCAGGGAGAGAGCCUGGUGAACGGAGGGAGAGAAGAUGGGAGGGGGCCAGAAGCCAAACAAUGAGCAGGGGUGCAUGGGGCGCUCCCACCCGCGGAGGCCAGCCAGCCACGGGCAGAGGCUUGCAGAAAGCCCUGCGAGCAGAAUGGCCCGGAUCCUGCCAUCACAGGGACAGGCUCCUCCAGAGAUCCGUGAGGGAAGAGGACGAGGCCCGUGUUCACAGGCUUCGUCCCUGGGGGACAGAGAACUGAAGGGAGUUACCGCGAGUCCACGCCUGCCUAAAGCCGAACAGCUUCGUCACAGUGGAGAUACUCCAACAGGAGAGCGCCACCUCGCUGGCUUGUCCUACAGACGUCUCCGCAGCCUAGACAUGGACGGCAUGCCCAGGGGGAGCACAGGCCCAGCACAGCCCAAAGAUGGGUGUAUCUGGGACGUCAGAACUCCUUUGACAAAGGGCAUCAAUGGCAGCCGGCAGCCCCUCUGAGGAAAUGCUACCUCAUCGUGAAUGGGAGCAUCCUACCCCACUCAAGUCUAGUCAGCAUCAGGUCUGGCUUGACCCAGGGGAUCACAGGAUGUCACUCCUCAGGCUCCGAGGUUCCCUGAUAGUGUCCUGCACAGAGCGGUUCCUCCAUGAGGGGCCCUGGACUGGCAGAGGGACUCCAGGGAGAGAGUGUCUCGCUGUCCACAGUUCUUUGCCUAUUAUGACAUGGGUCAGCUGACCUGGUCACAUGCCACCCUCAGAUCAGUUGCAGAGUGAGCGUGUGAAACGCACUCAUUGGCUGACCGAGGUCAUGUGCGCCCCCUGGGACUCCGGGUCCUAGAGACGUGGGACGUCCCCAAACCCACGGAUGAGAAAAGGCUAUUGGGGGAGGGGCUUCAAAGGGUAGAAGGGGUGACUGUUGACACAGGUGAACAAGAGGGCAGGCAGGACACAGCCCCGGCCGUCCACGGCCCCAGCCAGGGUCUGGGCCUCCUGCUCUGUGGAGGCUGAGCUCACCCCAGCUGCCCCCUCCUGUGCAGCAGGACUUCUGCCACAGCCAAGGAGCACCUUGCCCCCCUCCAAACAGUGCCGGUCGUCCUUCCAAAGGUGUCCCCACUCCAGCCUGCGUCCUGGCCGGGGUCUGCGACUCAGGAUGGCUCCUCCCCCUGGGACACUCCCUCUGCCUGUCCCCUCCUUUCUCAGCGUCCCUAAGUGGUGGCCCUGGAGCCUUAAGGAAGCUGGGGACCUUGAGCCUGGUUGUCCUGUGGCUUGACUCAGGGGAGCCCAUGGUCUGAUUCCUUCUGCUCUGUUCACUAAUGACUCGGCCACUCAUCACGUCACCUGACGCCCAGGACAGGGAUGAGGUGCCUGUGUCCUGGGGGCAUGCCAGACCUACCAGGCACAGAGCAGGCCCUGCUGGGUGGCCCUGGGGGGUGUCCUGGUGUCAGGGGAACCCUGGGCAGGUGUCCUUGCAGAACAAACAGGUGUGUCUCCUCGGACUUAGGGAUCAUCGGGAUCUUCAGGCCACACAGGGACGGUAGCAGGGAGGCGGCCCACCCUGGGCCUUACACGGUACCAUACAGUGGAAGGAAGAGGAGAAGUGGCCCCAGUGCUCCGAGGAGAACCCCUGAGCACAUAACAAACGCUCACUGAGAACAGUGGGCGGAGCAGCUGCAGGGGCCCAGUCGGCAGAUGUGCCGGGUGUCACUGGCCUGAGCCAGGUGCUGACGGACUCCGAGAGCUGGCGUUCUGUGCACAUUGUGAAGGUCCCAAAUACUGGAUCUCCCUCCUGGACCCCUUGCCCUGAUUCCGGCUCAGGGAAGUUAUUAUCCUUGAGACUCAAUUGAUGCAAAAUGGACCUCCCUGCUUGGCUUUCCUGGCCUCUGUCACAGAGGGGUCUGUGUUUGGUUUUGACAGAACCCUGUCCUGGACAUAAUGUGCACUGAUUCCUCUGAGGCGUGACAUUUGCAAGGUGAGAUGUAUUUGUCAUCCCCAAACAGAAUGACUCAUUGUCGAGCAUUUUGAAAAGCGAGGACUUUGACCAUUGUUCCAGCGAUGGUUGGUCUGUUUUUGGCUCCAUAUUACAGCUUCACAGUGCAGGAUGUCGCCCUGGAAAGCCUUUGCCAGGUAGAGAGGCCUGUGAUGCUCGUUGGAACUGCAGGUCCCCAGGGAAGCCCUUCCAUAAGUGUGGGCUGACGGAGGUGUGGCGUUGACCGGGUGAAGGAGGCAUUUCCGCUCCGCUCAUGGCCAGAGUCUGGGGCCCCGGUUCCAUUUUCCAAAGGAACCAGCCAACAUCUUGUGGUGGGAAGCUGGGUUUAGGGUGAGAGUUGUGGUGGUGUAGGGUGAGGGGGCUGUCCCUAGAGAAAGGGACCCUGGUUGCACAGACCCGGCCCAUUUCCUAUGAACAUCCUCCUCCACCCACUGAGGCAACACAGACUUUCUCAUUAUUUCUGCCUUUCCCCCAAACCCACAUGAGAAGAUCCACCCUUCUAGUUUACAAGCAGAUAUGAUAAUUCUCAAUGUGCCAGUUGGAGGAGGGAAUAUUUGCCAUGGUCAUUAAAUAGAGCUGGGCAAAACAGCUGGACUCUCAGGGUCCAGAGUCAGAGAGAGGGUGUGGGGCUUUCUCCUGUCCCAUGGUAUCCCUAGCAGCUUUCCAAGGUAUGAUAAUUAAUUGCUGUGACAAAAUUCCGGAGAAAAAUUACUUAGAGGAAGGAGCCAGCUGUAGUGUGCAUGCCUCUAAUCCUCCUGACUCGGGAGGCUGAGGCAGGAAGAUAGCAAGUUUGAGGACAGCCUCAGCAAUUUGAUGAGGCUCUAAUCAACAUAGUGAGAACCUGUCUCAAAAAAUAAAAGGGCUGUGGAUGAGGAUCAGUGAUAAAGCACCCCUGGGUUCAGUCCCCAGUACCAUCUCCCCAAAAAGGAAGAAAGACUUAUUUUGGCUCAUUGUUUCAGAGGUGAAAGUGUGUGGUUGCUUGGCCCUGCUGUCCUGGGCCCCUGUCAAGGCAGAACAUCAGGGCAAGAGGCUUGUGAAAGCAGGCGCCUUCAAGGCCCUUCUCCAACUACCUAUUUCCCCCAACUAGGCCCGUCCCCCUGAGAUUCCACAACUUCCUAAGAGUCCCACAGGUAGUGGAUCCUUUGUGAAUCCUCAUAAUGCAUUUUGAGGUCAGGGACAUUAUGGUCCAGUCACCUGCCCACGGCCCACCUCUUAACACGGCUGCAUUGGGUUGCAAGCCUUCAAGCUUUUGGGGUGUUUGUGAUGCAAACCAUGACCUCCUGUCCCCAGCCCCCAUCACCUGGUGUCCAUCGCACAGUGUGAGCCCCGUUUGGUCCUUCUCAUGGCUCCCAUAGUCAACAGGCUCCAUGUGGCUCUAACAGCAAGUCAAGUUUCCCCUCUGACCCCAGGUGGGCUCUUUGAUGUGAGCCACUGGGGAAAUCAGAAAAUGAAUCGGACACUCCCAGAUACAGUGCAGGAGACCAGGAAAACAGUGAGGAGGAACUGGGCCAAGAAAGGCCAGAACCCACCCUAGUGGGAGCCAGUUCCCUGCUGGGUUCUGGUUCUGGUCAUGUCUGGCCUCCGAGACACAGUGGAUGACGUGAGCCCCCAGGGCGUGAGCAGCCCCAGCCCGACUCCCUUGCAAGGCCACUCUUGGGCUGUCCCUGCCUGUGGCUUUCCCUGGAGAUGGUCCUUGUCCCUGGCAUCUCGGCCCUGCGUCCUCCACCGCAGCUGGUGUUCACUGUCACAGCUCCUCACGUCACUCUCCACGGGCCACUCUCAAGGGAGUGACCCUGGCUCACUCCUAGCCUCCAGGUUUGCUUUGGAAUCUGGUGGAGACCUGCAAGACUGGUCACCCUUGGUGUGUGGGCCUACCAAGUGCUGGACGGCAGGACAAUGGAAAGGAAUCCUGGGAAACAAGUCUCUAGACAGCCCUGUGCCCACAGGAGCCCUGGGCCUUCUUCUCAGAUCCAAGGCCUUGCUCCUGGAGCCAGUGGGAGGGGUAGGACCAGUGCGUUAGAGCCCUGAAGCUCUUCCCCAUGCUCUUUGCAAAGUCCUUGGCCUCUUUAUAACGAUGCCGUCUCCUCCGCAGCCACAGCCUCCUUGGUCUCAGCCUUGUACUUUUACUCUGUUGGCAACAGGGAGCACUUUCAGUGUCGGUCCACACGGCCUUUGCUCCUAUUUCUCCCUGUAAACCUGGCUAAAAGUAACCAGCAAAGCCCACACCAGGCCCUGAAUGCGGGGCUGUCUUGCAAUUUUCUCCAUCAUAUUAAUAAUUCCAUCACCUUUCAGCUCAGCCUCACACAGUCUCAGGGCACUGACAGAACACAGGCAAGGACUUGGUCAGGUGGCCAUGAAGGGCUUCUGUACCAGCUUCAAACAAAAUCCUCAUUGCCACUGGAAACCUCAGCAGUACACUAUUUUUUUUUUGUUUUUUUUUAGAAAAAGGAAAAAAGAAGGUUUAUUGCUUUGCUAGCAAAGGAGAAACACAUGGGACUUCUGUUCCAAAAGCUGUGAUUCUGCCCACCAGCAGGAAUAGGGGGCUUUUAAAGAGGUGACUCAAAGCUGCAUUCCAUGAGUGCUCUGUUGGAGUUGUAAUUCGCUUGUUAAUUUAGGAGAUAGUCAUUUCUGAGAUCUUCUUAUACCAUCCCCAAAGUCUGGAUUACUUCAUUCUUAUGGCGAGUGUGUACUCAAGGAUAGCUAAAUCUGCCUAAAAUGGGGAAGAAAGAUAAUCCUAUUUCCCUUGAGAUUAGGGAGGGGGAGAUUAGGAAAGAUUAGGGAGGGAAGAAGAGAAAGAAACAUGUUCAUUUAAAAACCAGUUGCAGUGGUGGAGCAGCAAGGGCUACAUUCAAAACAUAAAGUGGACACUGAUGUACUCUUCCCCACUGUCAAUUUCUACAUUGCGUUUCUG
RNAcentral lists this long non-coding RNA (5390 nucleotides) under Marmota monax (woodchuck). The record is from RNAcentral. Lineage: Eukaryota; Metazoa; Chordata; Mammalia; Rodentia; Sciuridae.